CCCCUUAGACUUUUCAGAUUACUUGAUUGUCGGCGCAAUGCAUGUAUACAGGCUGUGGUAGCCCGUAGGGUGGUAGAGGACAAUGCGGCUCAUUCCGCCUAUGAAAUGCUUUUGGACUGUAAGUUCUGGCGGGAGGCGAGUUCUUAGGAUGAAAUUUGGCGAACCACAGUUGGAUGGUGUAUGUCAGUGCAUUGGGUUCAAAAUCUGGCUGACCGCUCUUCCGUUCUUUUUUCCUUGUAUUUAUCAUGAAUGGCCUAGGAUCAUAGUUACAUUUAGAGGACCAGUUCGCGAAUGUAUCUCCGGUUCUCCUCACUAUGCAUUGCAUUUGUCUCUCAAGUCGGGAGAAUGCAAGUCAGAUAUGGCCCGAGUACUGAUUAUCAUGUAAAGAGUUGUUCAACAUACCGAAAUAGUUUGUCUAAGCCGUGAGUUCCCUAGGUAUGCUCAGCUAUAUAACUGUGAUUAUGGAAUGAGUCUUUCUUCCGUGACUAAAAUGUGAUUAUGUUCAAAGUCUUUCUUCCGUGACUAAAAUGUGAUGUGUUAAAUCCAACUUGCCGAGUUUUAGUUAAGUAUGUCAAAUCAUCAGGAAGGUUUCAUGAUCCGCGAUGCAAUAAGUUGAUCCAUUGCAAACCGGCAACAAUUCCCAUUAUAAACUGUUCAG
This 658-nucleotide long non-coding RNA is filed under the name Triticum aestivum (bread wheat). RNAcentral's name for it is "long non-coding RNA (TAES_LNC018486)". Lineage: Eukaryota; Viridiplantae; Streptophyta; Magnoliopsida; Poales; Poaceae. The record is from RNAcentral.